AUUGAACGCUGGCGGCAGGCCUAACACAUGCAAGUCGAGCGGAUGAAGGGAGCUUGCUCCUGGAUUCAGCGGCGGACGGGUGAGUAAUGCCUAGGAAUCUGCCUGGUAGUGGGGGAUAACGUCCGGAAACGGGCGCUAAUACCGCAUACGUCCUGAGGGAGAAAGUGGGGGAUCUUCGGACCUCACGCUAUCAGAUGAGCCUAGGUCGGAUUAGCUAGUUGGUGGGGUAAAGGCCUACCAAGGCGACGAUCCGUAACUGGUCUGAGAGGAUGAUCAGUCACAAUGGAACUGAGACACGGUCCAGAAUCCUACGGGAGGCAGCAGUGGGGAAUAUUGGACAAUGGGCGAAAGCCUGAUCCAGCCAUGCCGCGUGUGUGAAGAAGGUCUUCGGAUUGUAAAGCACUUUAAGUUGGGAGGAAGGGCAGUAAGUUAAUACCUUGCUGUUUUGACGUUACCAACAGAAUAAGCACCGGCUAACUUCGUG
This 484-nucleotide ribosomal RNA is filed under the name uncultured bacterium. RNAcentral describes it as "partial 16S ribosomal RNA". It matches the Rfam family "Bacterial small subunit ribosomal RNA", at positions 30 to 507 of the family's 1533-position model. The record is from RNAcentral.